GGUCAAUGGAAGUUCAUGUUGGUAAAAGGAAAAGUCAUCAGAGAACCAAGUCACUUGGGAGAGCAAUCGAGUACGUAAUGACAGAAACUAUUUGUGCAGCCAAGGUGGGUGUUUCACCAUGCUGCCCAGACUGCUCUCACACUCCGAGAUUUAAUCAGUUCUGCCUCAAGCUCCUGAACAACUGGGACUGCACAGCCUCAGUAAGAAACUUCUUGCUUAAAUCUACGUAUCAGCUGUAAAGGACAGAAUGCAAAAAGUAGUUGCCAACUGCAGUCACAAAUGUAGGAAAUUCAUCUCCACAAUUAAGCGGCACACUCAGAGCUUCUCUUUGUAAUGUCCGGAAAGAACGCCCCACCCUCCAGAAACCUACAAUACAGCAGGCCUCCAUGAGAGCGUCAGGAACUUCAGGCACAUAUGGAAUGGCGAUCGCAUGACGUGUCCUGCAGAAUUGCAGUGGGGUCUCCGUGGGAAUGGACGAGGUUCAUGGACACGGCUAUGGCCAGAGACUUGAUGUGCUCCCAUCCUCACCAUCCGUCAGGCAAGGAGCGUUUGUAUCCACGGCAAGUGUUCAGGAAUUAAUAACUGGUGUGGACUGGGAGGAACUUCAGCUCUCCUGCUUAGACU
This is a non-coding RNA of Myodes glareolus (Bank vole), 624 nucleotides long. The record is from RefSeq and is a predicted model, not a curated record. NCBI's taxonomy places the organism in Eukaryota, Metazoa, Chordata, Mammalia, Rodentia, Cricetidae.